GACGAACGCUGGCGGCGUGCUUAACACAUGCAAGUCGAGCGGUAAGGCCCUUUCGGGGGUACGACGAGCGGCGAACGGGUGAGUAACACGUGGGUGACCUGCCCUCAGCCCUGGGAUAAGCCUGGGAAACUGGGUCUAAUACUGGAUAUGACUCCACGGUGCAUGUCGUGGGGUGGAAAGCCUUGUGCGGCUGAGGAUGGGCCCGCGGCCUAUCAGCUUGUUGGUGGGGUGAUGGCCUACCAAGGCGACGACGGGUAGCCGGCCUGAGAGGGCGACCGGCCACACUGGGACUGAGACACGGCCCAGACUCCUACGGGAGGCAGCAGUGGGGAAUCUUGCGCAAUGGGCGAAAGCCUGACGCAGCGACGCCGCGUGAGGGAUGACGGCCUGUGU
Molecule: ribosomal RNA, 393 nt
Filed under: uncultured bacterium
Lineage: Bacteria
Description: bacterial SSU rRNA
Rfam family: Bacterial small subunit ribosomal RNA
Source: RNAcentral